CAAUCUUCAGGCAGAAAGAGGGGAAAGUCUUAGAGAGAGAUGGCCAUAUGCUGUCAGAAGUGCAGCUCCCCGUCACCCCCAGGCAGCCAGCUCUGAUGGUCAAGGACCAGCCUGUCCAUCUCCCAGAAGACCAUUCUGGACAAAGAGAAUGAGGCCGAUAUGUGAAGAGAACCAGAGAUAAAAGAUGAAGCCACAUGGUGGUGCAGGCCUGUAAUCCCAGCACUGGGGAGGCUGAGGCAGGAGGAUCACCACAAGUUCGAGGCCAGCCUGGGCUACAUAGUAAACUGUAGCCUGAAUUACACAGCGAGAUCAUCUCCAAAAAAAAAAGAGGAGGAGGAGGAGGAGGAGGAGG
This 352-nucleotide long non-coding RNA is filed under the name Heterocephalus glaber (naked mole-rat). Its description in RNAcentral is "lncRNA (ENSHGLG00000032138.1)". The record is from RNAcentral. Lineage: Eukaryota; Metazoa; Chordata; Mammalia; Rodentia; Bathyergidae.